GCACAAGCGGUGGAUGAUGUGGUUUAAUUCGAUGCAACGACGAAAACCUUACCCACCUUUGACAUGGCAGGAAGUUUCCAGAGAUGGAUUCGUGCUCGAAAGAGAACCUGCACACAGGUGCUGCAUGGCUGUCGUCAGCUCGUGUCGUGAGAUGUUGGGUUAAGUCCCGCAACGAGCGCAACCCUUGCCAUCAGUUGCUACGAAAGGGCACUCUGAUGGGACUGCCGGUGACAAACCGGAGGAAGGUGGGGAUGACGUCAAGUCCUCAUGGCCCUUAUAGGUGGGGCUACACACGUCAUACAAUGGCCGGUACAAAGGGCAGCAAACCCGCGAGGGGGAGCCAAUCCAUCAAAGCCGGUCGUAGUCCGGAUCGCAGUCUGCAACUCGACUGCGUGAAGUCGGAAUCGCUAGUAAUCGUGGAUCAGCAUGCUGCGGUGAAUACGUUCCCGGGUCUU
Molecule: ribosomal RNA, 455 nt
Filed under: uncultured Hydrogenophaga sp.
Lineage: Bacteria; Pseudomonadati; Pseudomonadota; Betaproteobacteria; Burkholderiales; Comamonadaceae
Description: bacterial SSU rRNA
Rfam family: Bacterial small subunit ribosomal RNA
Source: RNAcentral